Molecule: ribosomal RNA, 466 nt
Filed under: uncultured bacterium
Lineage: Bacteria
Description: partial 16S ribosomal RNA
Rfam family: Bacterial small subunit ribosomal RNA
Source: RNAcentral
GACGAACGCUGGCGGCGCGCCUAACACAUGCAAGUCGAACGAGCGAGAGAGAGCUUGCUUUCUCGAGCGAGUGGCGAACGGGUGAGUAACGCGUGAGGAACCUGCCUCAAAGAGGGGGACAACAGUUGGAAACGACUGCUAAUACCGCAUAAGCCCACGGCUCGGCAUCGAGCAGGGGGAAAAGGAGCAAUCGGCUUUGAGAUGGCCUCGCGUCCGAUUAGCUAGUUGGUGAGGUAACGGCCCACCAAGGCGACGAUCGGUAGCCGGACUGAGAGGUUGAACGGCCACAUUGGGACUGAGACACGGCCCAGACUCCUACGGGAGGCAGCAGUGGGGAAUAUUGCACAAUGGGGGAAACCCUGAUGCAGCGACGCCGCGUGGAGGAAGAAGGUCUUCGGAUUGUAAACUCCUGUUGUUGGGGAAGAUAAUGACGGUACCCAACAAGGAAGUGACGGCUAACUACGUG